CCUACGGGUGGCAGCAGUGAGGAAUAUUGGUCAAUGGACGAAAGUCUGAACCAGCCAAGUCGCGUGAAGGAUGACUGCCCUAUGGGUUGUAAACUUCUUUUAUAAAGGAAUAAAACGAGGCACGUGUGCCUUUUUGCAUGUACUUUAUGAAUACGGAUCGGCUACCUCCGUGCCAGCAGUCGCGGUAAUACGGAGGAUCCGAGCGUUAUCCGGAUUUAUUGGGUUUAAAGGGUGCGUAGGUGGUUAAUUAAGUCAGCGGUGAAAGUUUGUGGCUCAACCAUGAAAUUGCCGUUGAAACUGGUUGACUUGAGUAUAUUUGAGGUAGGCGGAAUGCGUGGUGUAGCGGUGAAAUGCAUAGAUAUCACGCAGAACUCCGAUUGCGAAGGCAGCUUACUAAGCUAUAACUGACACUGAAGCACGAAAGCGUGGGGAUCAAACAGGAUUAGAUACCCGGGUAGUC
Molecule: ribosomal RNA, 460 nt
Filed under: uncultured bacterium
Lineage: Bacteria
Description: partial 16S ribosomal RNA
Rfam family: Bacterial small subunit ribosomal RNA
Source: RNAcentral